GAACGGGUGGUAAUGCCGGAUGCUCCAGUUGAUCGCAUGGUCUUCUGGGAAAGCUUUCGCGGUAUGGGAUGGGGUCGCGUCCUAUCAGCUUGACGGCGGGGUAACGGCCCACCGUGGCUUCGACGGGUAGCCGGCCUGAGAGGGCGACCGGCCACAUUGGGACUGAGAUACGGCCCAGACUCCUACGGGAGGCAGCAGUGGGGAAUAUUGCACAAUGGGCGCAAGCCUGAUGCAGCGACGCCGCGUGAGGGAUGGAGGCCUUCGGGUUGUAAACCUCUUUUAUCGGGGAGCAAGCGAGAGUGAGUUUACCCGUUGAAUAAGCACCGGCUAACUACGUGCCAGCAGCCGCGGUAAUACGUAGGGUGCAAGCGUUAUCCGGAAUUAUUGGGCGUAAAGGGCUCGUAGGCGGUUCGUCGCGUCCGGUGUGAAAGUCCAUCGCUUAACGGUGGAUCCGCGCCGGGUACGGGCGGGCUUGAGUGCGGUAGGGGAGACUGGAAUUCCCGGUGUAACGGUGGAAUGUGUAGAUAUC
Molecule: ribosomal RNA, 529 nt
Filed under: Bifidobacterium longum subsp. suillum
Lineage: Bacteria; Bacillati; Actinomycetota; Actinomycetes; Bifidobacteriales; Bifidobacteriaceae
Description: bacterial SSU rRNA
Rfam family: Bacterial small subunit ribosomal RNA
Source: RNAcentral